This 70-nucleotide transfer RNA is filed under the name Bavayia borealis. RNAcentral describes it as "tRNA-Tyr". The record is from RNAcentral. Lineage: Eukaryota; Metazoa; Chordata; Lepidosauria; Squamata; Diplodactylidae.
GGUAGAGUGGCCGABAGUUAGGCGGCAGGCUGUAGUCCUGCUAACAUGGGUUUAAGUCUUGUUUCUAUCA